Molecule: ribosomal RNA, 170 nt
Filed under: uncultured bacterium
Lineage: Bacteria
Description: partial 16S ribosomal RNA
Rfam family: Bacterial small subunit ribosomal RNA
Source: RNAcentral
CCUAGGGGAGGCAGCAGUAGGGAAUAUUGGGCAAUGGGCGCAAGCCUGACCCAGCGACGCCGCGUGAGGGAUGAAGGCCUUCGGGUUGUAAACCGCUUUCAGUAGGGAAGAAGCGAAAGUGACGGUACCUACAAAAGAAGCACCGGCUAACUAUGUGCCAGCAGCCGCGG